This is a non-coding RNA of Podarcis lilfordi (Lilford's wall lizard), 94 nucleotides long. NCBI's taxonomy places the organism in Eukaryota, Metazoa, Chordata, Lepidosauria, Squamata, Lacertidae. The record is from the annotation of a GenBank genome assembly.
CUCCAAAUGUUGUUGGAUUCCAACUCGCAUCAGCCCCAGCUAGCAUGGCUAAUCGCAAGGGGUGAUGGGAGUUGGAGUCCAACGACAUCUGGAG